This 339-nucleotide non-coding RNA is filed under the name Pan troglodytes (chimpanzee). RNAcentral also lists the same sequence under 1 other name. Lineage: Eukaryota; Metazoa; Chordata; Mammalia; Primates; Hominidae. The record is from RNAcentral.
CGCCAUGUUGGCCAGGCUGGUCUCGCACUCCUGACCUCAAGUGAUCCGCCUGCCUUGGCCUCCCAAAGUGCUGGGAUUACAGACGUGAAGCCACUGCGCCCGGCUGGUAUAGAUAUUUAAAAAAUAAGAAAGUUAGUUUCUGGGUCACGGGAAACUCAUGUUUAUGUUACCUAACAAAGGCCUGAAGUGGAAAUACUUCAUGUUGUUGAGUAAGCUGAGAGGUUGCUGGCAGAGGUGGUUGGGGCUAUGUGCCUGGAGUGAAGAUUCUGCCCAUUGGUCAAGAGACCUCCCUCUCAGAUGCUGGCUCUGCCCCUGCCUUUGGGGGUCGACCCUUGUACU